This 173-nucleotide non-coding RNA is filed under the name Caloramator australicus. RNAcentral also lists the same sequence under 1 other name. Lineage: Bacteria; Bacillati; Bacillota; Clostridia; Eubacteriales; Clostridiaceae. The record is from RNAcentral.
GUGAAUAUUUCAGUCAAGGGUGCUCUUAGGAGCUUAAAAGGGAAAGCGGUGAAAAUCCGCUGCAGCCCCCGCUACUGUAUACGGCGACAAAUCCAAUACCCACUGGGAAACUGGGAAGGGUUGGAGGAGGAGGACCCGUGAGCCAGGAGACCUGCCUUUGAUGUUGGCUAAUC